This 454-nucleotide ribosomal RNA is filed under the name uncultured bacterium. Its description in RNAcentral is "partial 16S ribosomal RNA". It matches the Rfam family "Bacterial small subunit ribosomal RNA", at positions 29 to 523 of the family's 1533-position model. The record is from RNAcentral.
AACGAACGCUGGCGGCAGGCUUAACACAUGCAAGUCGAACGCAUCCUUCGGGGUGAGUGGCAGACGGGUGAGUAACGCGUGGGAACGUGCCCUUCAGUUCGGGAUAACCCAGGGAAACUUGGGCUAAUACCGGAUACGUGCGAGAGCAGAAAGAUUUAUCGCUGAAGGAUCGGCCCGCGUCUGAUUAGCUAGUUGGUGGGGUAAUGGCCCACCAAGGCGACGAUCAGUAGCUGGUCUGAGAGGAUGAUCAGCCACAUUGGGACUGAGACACGGCCCAAACUCCUACGGGAGGCAGCAGUGGGGAAUAUUGGACAAUGGGGGCAACCCUGAUCCAGCAAUGCCGCGUGAGUGAAGAAGGCCUUCGGGUUGUAAACCUCUUUUAGCAGGGAAGAAGCGAAAGUGACGGUACCUGCAGAAAAAGCACCGGCUAACUACGUGCCAGCCGCCGCCGUAA